GCCUGGGUAGCUCAGUCAGUGGAGCGUCCAACUUCGGCUCAGGUCGUGAUCUUGAGAUUCGUGGGUUCGAGCCCCACAUCGGGCU
This 85-nucleotide transfer RNA is filed under the name Felis catus (domestic cat). It matches the Rfam family "tRNA". Rfam says of the family: Transfer RNA (tRNA) molecules are approximately 80 nucleotides in length. Their secondary structure includes four short double-helical elements and three loops (D, anti-codon, and T loops). Further hydrogen bonds mediate the characteristic L-shaped molecular structure. tRNAs have two regions of fundamental functional importance: the anti-codon, which is responsible for specific mRNA codon recognition, and the 3' end, to which the tRNAs corresponding amino acid is attached (by aminoacyl-tRNA synthetases). tRNAs cope with the degeneracy of the genetic code in two manners: having more than one tRNA (with a specific anti-codon) for a particular amino acid; and 'wobble' base-pairing, i.e. permitting non-standard base-pairing at the 3rd anti-codon position. The record is from Rfam by way of RNAcentral. Lineage: Eukaryota; Metazoa; Chordata; Mammalia; Carnivora; Felidae.